This 6630-nucleotide long non-coding RNA is filed under the name Marmota monax (woodchuck). The record is from RNAcentral. Lineage: Eukaryota; Metazoa; Chordata; Mammalia; Rodentia; Sciuridae.
GUUAAAGUGCUCUUGAUGAAAGAUCGUGAAACCAACAAAUCAAGAGGAUUUGCCUUUGUCACCUUUGAAAGUCCAGCAGAUGCUAAGGAUGCAGCCAGAGACAUGAAUGGAAAGGUGAGAUUGCACAAUGAAUACCAUGUAUCCUAGUGCAUAAUAUAGCAUGUGCAAUCCCAACUCUGGUUCAUGGAAGCUCUUGAAUUAUUUUGGUUUUGAAUAUAUACCUCUCCAAGAUCUUCUCACCAUAGCCAAUUUGUAGUACUCUUUUGAAGUAUAUCAUGAGGUGUUUUUUUUUUUUUUUUUUUUGUGGUGCUAGGCAUGCCAAACAAGUGCUCUACCACUGAGCGACAUGCUCAACUGAAGCAUAUUAUGAAAUUCCAGGGUCAAAUGUUGUAGACAAAGUUAUAGAUUGUACCCUUUCUUCCCCCUUGGAUUGGACUUAUGCAUGCUAGUCAAGUGCUCCACCUUGAGUUACAUCCCCAACCAUGGAUUGUGCUCUUAAGUGUUUCUCAGUUCAGAGUAGCAUGUAAUGUUACAGAUAAGCAUUGUAUUUUAUCUUGGGAUCCCUAAACCAUAGCUUGAUGGCUUGGCCUUUAGCAUUGUUUAUUACUUUUGCUUUUUUUUUUUUUUAGGUGGGGGGUACUGGGGAUUGAACCCAGGGGGUGCUUUACCACUGAGCCAUAUCCCCAGUUCUUUGUAUAUUUUAUUUUGAGACUGGGUCUCACUAAGUUGCUAGGGCCUCCGUAAAUUGCUGAGGCUGGCUUUGAACUCAAUCCUCUUGCCUCAGCCUCCUGAGCUGCUAGGAUUACAGACAUGUGACACGAUUCCUGGUUCCUUUUUAUUUUUUGAUACAAGGUCUCACCAAGUUGCUGAGGCUGGCCUCAGCUUGCUAUCCUGCUUCAGUUUCCUGAGUUAACCUGGAGUUGCUGGGAUUAUAGGCAUGUGCCAUUGUACCUAAUCUGGUUAUUAGUUUUGAAAAUGAGCUGAUAUACCUACCUAGCAUUGCUUUAAAUUUUACCAAGUGCACUGAGUUUACUUUAUGCUUUGUAUUCUCAGUGACUGGGUAGACAUUUUAAGUAAGUGGAAAAGUCAUUCUUAGAAUUACUACUUCUAGGAUUUUACUUAGACUAAUUGAUGAACAAAAUUAACUGUAUUUUGGUGUCAAUAGUAUAUAGUGGACCUGUAAGUUCUUUUAAAAUUAUGAUGCAAUUUAACCGUUUUGAUUUUUGUUUAAAGUCCUUAGAUGGAAAAGCCAUCAAGGUGGAACAAGCUACCAAACCAUCAUUUGAAAGUGGUAGACGUGGCCCACCUCCACCUCCAAGAAGCAGAGGCCCUCCCAGAGGUCUUAGAGGAGGAAGAGGAGGAAGUGGAGGAACUAGGGGACCUCCCUCUCGUGGAGGGCACAUGGGUAAUAAUUUAGGUGGAUCUUUGGCUUGGUGUAUAAGAACUGCAAAUCCACGACAGUGUAUACUUUAAGCCCUCGUUGAAAGGCUCUCGCCUUUGAAAUUAAGAAAGAAUAUAUGCUUACCUCUUGAAGUGAUAAUGACUCGAGGAAAACAUGGAAGGUGUCCUAAGUUAAAUGAAUGUUGAUUUAAAUUAUAGAUCACAUUAUUUCUUACCUUAUUACUUAAUGUGUAAGAAAAGUACUUAAAAAAUCUUUUUCAAGAUUCAGUUUGAUACAUUGAGCAUAUGAAAGCAAAACAAUGUGUGUUCUUUGAAAUAACUUUAGAGACUACCCUUCAUUUUCCUUAUUUUCCCAGUCUACAUGACUUCAUGCUUGAUAUUGUGCAAUUGAAAAUAUAAGUUAGACCCCUCAAAGAGAAAAGAUAAAGAGAAGGUAGUAUCAUCAAAUCAUAGAAUUCUUUGUUUUGUUUUGUUUUUUAAAUUCUUGUGUUAACAUAUUUUUUUCUCCUUUCUAAUGUAGAUGAUGGUGGUUAUUCCAUGCAUUUUAACAUGAGUUCUUCCAGGGGACCUCUUCCAGUAAAAAGAGGACCACCACCAAGAAGUGGGGGUCCUCCUCCUAAAAGAUCAGCUCCUUCAGGACCAGUUCGCAGCAGCAGUGGAAUGGGAGGAAGAGGUAAAUGUUGCAUGCAUGACAAUCUGUGCUGUCACCAUAGCACUAAGAAUUAAGAAGUAACUCUUAAAAAUGACCCUUAAGACUUGUUCAGGAAUUCCAGGUGAUCUAGUAACAUGAAGCUAAUGAGUACUCAAAAGAUGUGAAUAACAUUUCUUGAUCUGUGUACGUAUUAUGUUUAAGUCACUACUUUUCAUUGUCUGAAUAUAAUAAGUUCACAUUUUAUUUAACUUUUACCAGGCUACAUUUAAAAAAAUUAUUAUUUUUCCUUAAGCUCCUGUAUCACGUGGAAGAGAUAGUUAUGGAGGCCCACCUCGAAGGGAACCCCUGCCCUCUCGUAGAGAUGUUUAUUUGUCCCCAAGAGAUGAUGGAUAUUCUACUAAAGACAGGUAACACAAAAAAAUGCAGUUUUUUCAUUAAGGUUAAAGGAGAGCUCAUCAAAAGCAUAGACCAAAUUACUUUUGUUUCUAUAGCUAUUCAAGCAGAGAUUACCCAAGUUCUCGUGACACAAGAGAUUAUGCACCACCUCCAAGAGAUUAUACUUACCGUGAUUAUGGUCAUUCCAGUUCACGUGAUGACUAUCCAUCAAGAGGCUAUAGGUAAGUGAGUGCUUCCAUGGCUCAAGUAUAAUAUUUUAUUGUAAAAGUUGGUGCUCUGGGACUCAAAGGUUUUUCUCUUUAAUUUAGUGAUAGAGAUGGAUAUGGUCGUGAUCGUGAUUAUUCAGAUCAUCCAAGUGGAGGUUCCUACAGAGAUUCAUAUGAGAGUUAUGGUAAGAUACUGUUAAGAGUCUUGAGUUUCAGCAGCUUGAGUUUUUAGGUUCAUGAGCCAGUUUAAUAGGCUGCGUGGUGCUUGCUUUUAAAGGGACGUUUGCUUGCUUUUUUAAAGGGUUAACUAUCAGCUGGGCUUUUCCUAGUUUUGUGAGGGGCUUUUGUUCUUUCCUAAGUUUUUUUUUUUCUUUUGAGGCUGUUCGCUUGCUUUGGAGGGGAUUUUGCUUGCUUAAAUUGGCAGCCUUAUGUGUUUUCCCCCAACAGUGAAAAUACAAUUUAAAAAUUUUAUUAACAAGAUCAAAUGUUUACCAUUGCAAUAUGAAGGAAACUCUACAGUUCAAAAUUGCAACUUAUCACUGGAAAGUGGCUGAGUGUCUACUAUAAAAUAACAAGCUGGAAUAUCCUCUUGAAAUACACACCGUCUUCAGUCUUUUCAAACAAACAUUAAAAUCAAUCCAUUUCCAUAUCUCAGCAGAUGAGCAAAUCCUUGUUAUGGCCAGCAAUGGUAGAGUUUAAAACCUCCCAGUUGAGAAAGUAAACUUUUAAUACAAGAAUUCUGUAAAUUCAGAUUUAAAUGUUGUAUAUAUACAAUUUAUAGUGUUGCCAUAUUACCUGACCAUUGACCCUGCAGGUAACUCACGUAGUGCUCCACCUACACGAGGGCCCCCGCCAUCUUAUGGUGGAAGCAGUCGCUAUGAUGAUUACAGCAGCUCACGUGACGGAUAUGGUGGAAGUCGAGACAGUUACUCAAGCAGCCGAAGUGAUCUCUACUCAAGUGGUCGUGAUCGGGUUGGCAGACAAGAACGAGGGCUUCCCCCUUCUAUGGAAAGGGGGUACCCUCCUCCACGUGAUUCCUACAGCAGUUCAAGCCGCGGAGCACCAAGAGGUGGUGGCCGUGGAGGAAGCCGAUCUGAUAGAGGGGGAGGCAGAAGCAGAUACUAGAAACAAACAAAACUUUGGACCAAAAUUCCCCGUUCAAAGAAACAAACAAAAAGUGGAAACCAUUCUGUCAUAACUACCCAAGGACUACUAAAAGGAAAAAUUGUGUUACCUUUUUUAAAUUUCCUGUUAAGUUCCCCUUCAUAAUUUUUUAUGUUCUUGUGAGGGAAAAAAAGUAAAACAUGUUUAAUUUCAUUUGAUUUUGAGUUGCUUUCAACAAGCAAAUGUUAAGUGUGUAAGACUUGUUGUACUAGUGUUGUAAUUUUCCAAGUUAAAGUGUCCCUGAAGGCCACUUCCUAUCCAGUUUUACCCAGUAAAUGAGGCAAGCAAUUCUAAGAUCUUCCACAAACAUCUAGCCAUCUAGAUGUCCAUUGAUCUCCACUGAGAGAUGAAUCGUUCUGCCUAUACAAAAAAGCUAGCUAAUAGGGGGUGGUUGGGGUAUGCUACUCUUAGGAUUUCAGGGUGUCUUCCAACUGAAAUCUCAAUGUUCUCAGUAUACAAAACCUGAGAUCAGAUAUCUAUGUAAGGAAAGUACUAUUCACCCAGUAAAUCCCCCUUCCCCCCAAAAAAAACCAAAUGGAUAAUGCUGGCCAUAUUUUGCCUUUCUGACAUUUCCUUGGGAAUCCGCAAGAACCUCCCUUUCCCCCUCCCCCAAUAAGACCAUUUAAGUGUGUGUUAAACAACUACAGAAUACUAAAUAAAAAGUUUGGCCAAAACCAACCAUGAAGCUGCAAACGAUGCUUGCUCUUACUGUUUCAAAUUUUUGCAACUCUGUAGUGUCUCACUUUUAAAGGAACAGCUUGAUUGCAAAGGAGAAAAUAGAUAAGCAAUGAAGUUAUCUCCAACUUCCUAAAGGCUUAUGACUUCUAAAAAGUGAAUCUAUCAGCAUUCCACAUCAGAUUUAAAGCACCAAAUGCCUGUGAAACAGCAAAGAUGGUAAGCAAAGCAAACUAGUUUUUCCGUCUAAGUCGAAAUUGAACACUUACCUUCCUCAUAGUACAGUGAAACAUACUGUACCUCAUGGCAAUGGAAAUGUGCCUUCUAGAUUAAAAAAAAAAACCUUUUGGAAAAGCAAAUGUUCAAUAGCAUAUUAGAAGUCCUCCAAAUUCAACACUUGGAUUUUUUUUUUUAAAGCAUGUGUGACACUUAAAGGCCUUAAUACAGCUGUUUACCAGUACCAAUCUGGGGCUUGGGAGGGGGUAUUUUUUAAAGUAUUUUUGAUGAAGACCUUUAAACAUGCUUCAUAUGUUUUUAACAUUUUUUUUUUUCAAAUUAGUCUUAGUCAAUAUAAGAAAUGGCUUAGGUUUGGGGUCCCCUCUCUUACCCCUGUAAGCCAUUGCAAACUUGACCUUUAGUUGGAUGCCUGACUUGUUUUUAGUUCUAUGAAACUACACUGUAUGGAGAAAAUCUAUUGCAAGUGGUCUUUAAAAAGCAAAACCUGAGGCAGCAUGACCCAGGUCCAGCCAUGAAGUUGAAAAAGAUGCUCUUGAAUAUAGUAAACUUGAAGACCUCCAACUAAAAAUCCUUAUACGCACUUAUUCCUUCAAAUAAAUGUUUUGUCCGUUCAACUUAUGGAUUUAACGUGGCAGUGCACCAUUGGAACAGAAUGAGAAUCCAUAAGCCAUGCAACUUAACCAUUUAAGCCAUUCCAGUCCAUCCCAAGCCAGUGAAUCUUCCACUACUUAAGAGAACUAGUAGAACAUGAAAUACAUUAAUCUGGAAGUCUGAACUUGCCUUUCUGGAAAGAGGGCAGUUAUAGGCAAGUUUUAAAGUUUCCUUAAGAGAGAUAACUAGUUUUCAUCUGUUUAAUUUUUGCAGGUUGAGGACUUAUGGUCAUUGUGGUCAUGGAGUGCUGAUUUAUUCACAAUAGAUAAAGCUGGCAGCAGGAGAAAUCAAAUGCUAAGGUAAGUUUUGAAAGCACUGGCCUUUCAAGGUUUAAAUAGUAUUUGUAGUUUUGCCACUGUCAAGCUGUGGUGUUGGCAAGUUUUUUUUUUUUUUUUUUUUCCUGAUCCACACUUCAUCUGCAAAAGGGGAUAUAAUAUACAACUCUUGGAAAUUAGGUUAGAUUAUUUAACGUGUGUUAUCUGGCACAUCCAUUUUUUUUAAAGAGAAUUUUAAUAUUUAUUUUUUAGUUUUUGGCGGACACAACAUCUUUGUUUGUAUGUGGUGCUGAGGAUCGAACCUGGGCCGCACGCAUGCCAGGCAAGCGCGCUACCGCUUGAGCCACAUCCCCAGCCCUGGCACAUCAAUUUUGAAUGUAGAGGGAGGUUAUAUAGGUAUAUUUCCAGUAAUAAUACUAUUAGUCAUGCAAUAUUCUUGGCUGUUUAAAACCAAUUGCAAAUAUCUUUUCAUAUUGCAAGAGUUCUCUUGACAGGAUCUGUGUAUACAGGUAAUACUUUGGUAUGUGAGCAGACUUUACAUGAAGUUUGGGCUUCAGUGAAUUUUCUCAGUGCUUGCUUAUUUGUAUAGCUAUAAUACAAAUUGACUAAAUGGAGAGUUAUUGAUAUCAAUUAUAAGAAAAAGUAUGUAUUUAGGAAUGAUGGGGGGUGUUGGGGUACUAUGCAGUAUAAAACAAAUGCUUUACCUUGUAACUUGAUCCCAUGCUUUUUUACAGAGUUGUUGAAGCAGAAGAAUGCUGAUUGUCGAUCAGUCACAGCAGUCGCAUAAGCAGUGCUCGUCAGAAUUGGUUUGGUGCAGGCAAUAGAUUUUUGUCUUCAAGGGUUCUUGUGGAUCUGAGGAAGGCAUUAGUGUUGGUUAACACUCUUAACUAGGGAGUGGUAGUUACUUAAAAUUGACCAAAUGGAGAAAGGGAAAUAAAGAAAUUGGCAAGUGGAGGUACUCAGGAAGUUCUUG